UGUCAAAACUGAGCCGCGUCGAAUCUGAAUGGCUCGCUGCAAGCCAUAUUUUUAGACCAAGUUGGCCCAUUCAAAGUGACAGCUUGGUGUUACGUCUCAGUUUGAGUGGGUAGUCACUGCAGGUAUCCAAAUAAAUGUGCUUAAGCAGAGUAAAAAGUGUUAUACAUCCACUUCUGGUGCAGAAGUUUCAGAAGAGAUACCACGAAGUUUGGACAAAAAACAAAGAAUAAAAGUGUUUUUCCACUUGUGUGGGAUUUUUUUUAUCCUGAACUCCAGUCUUGAAUAACUCAGACUAAAGUGGCUAUUCUCCAUAUUAAACUCAGCAAUCUUUACAAUUUGAAACCAAACAAAUAGGUCAAAUGUGCUGAAAGUUAAAACCGCAUAAUGAACAGAGCUGUCCAAUCGGCAUGACUGACAGGAAGAAAACCGCCUGGCAACCACUUAGUGGCUCUUUGACAGGCCAGCAGCAACACUCCAGGGGGUUUUAGUAUGAGCUGCGAUUUACAAAACACAGACUGAAAUUGUGGAUGCCAAACGCGCCGCAGCCGUUUAGAGGAAGAAACGUGAAGGGAUUGCAUCUUGCAGAGCCUUUUACAUUCUAAACAAAACCCUCAAAGGGUAACAAACCCCUAAUGUGAAGAAGUAAACAUGGAUGUGAAAACAUCUUGAACUGUCCAGUUUUGUGAUAACAGUCUUCCAAAACAAAACACAGAGGUGCAAUAGUGUGGUGAGGUUAAACAUAAAACUGUCAAACGUAGUUUCAAGGGAUCAUGAACUCUUUGAAAUACCAAGAGACUUUGAUGGAUUUUAGCAGCAAAUGGAAAACAGAUUAGCAGAAUAAGGAUGCCAAACAAAAGUGGUUCACUAUGAAAUAAUAAACAUUUUUUUAAAGGUCAGACAGAGUUUAAGGCCGGUAGAAAACUUACAAGAUCAGAUUAGCAUAAUAAAGGACACAAUAUUCUAAAAAAAAAAAAAAAAAUCAAAAGAGAUUGUGAAAGUAGGAUUGAUCAAUGAUCCUAACUCGAUGCUCGAACCAGGGAGGAAACCAAAUGCUACUCUAGUGCCAAAAGAGAGCAUAAUACUGACAGCAUGGAGCGUGCUGCACAUCAAAACAGUGACUUUUAAAGAAAGUAAGUUGGACGAUUAUAUUUAUAUAAAUUUAAAAAAAAAGCUCCACCUCUGGCUGUAGUCGGAGCCACUCCGGCGCUAUGUUUAGAAACAUCACUGUAACGAGGUAAAUGCACACUGCACAGAAGAGGCAGAGCAGCGGGAUUUAAAAGAAGUGGUGGGUGGAGGGGUUCAGGAAGAGGGGGCACUGUGGGCGGGAGAGAUCCACAGAAAGAAAAAAAAAAAAAAACUGCAAUCAGUCUGAAUCCUGACAAGCUUUUUGAGAAAACUGGCUAAGCUCACAAACACAAAACAAAACAAAAAAAAGUUUGGACUUGCAGCGUUUUGUGACCAGCAUUUCCUGAGCGAGAGCUCCGGUGAAAAUCCACAGCAGCCUGAAUAAAUAAGCAGAACUCGUUUUCUAUCAUGUGUUUUUUCAGCAUUCCUGUCUUCCUCCUGCCUGUUUCUAUGCUUCUGUGUGUGUGUGUGUGUGUGUGUGUGUGCGUGUGUGCGUGUGUGUGUGUGUGUGAGCUCCAGCCAAAGGGGAGUGUGGCCUCGUUGCCAUAGGAACAUGCUUGCUAGCGUGUGCACUGCUCUCCAUCAAACUACCUUCAUUUCUGCUAAUGUAUUUAGAAGCGUCAUUACUGUGCUUGUGAAUGGAUGGAUCCAAAUGAAGUAAGUGGAGUCAAGCAGGCGUGACUCUACAGACGUACCGAGGGGACGACCAGAUACGGGAGGAGGAGGAACCUCAAAGCUACAAGCAGCAACAGAUCAACGGAGGUCUUGUUAUGAUGUUGCACAGAGAUGAGCGUUAAAAAGUGGAUAAAGAAAUGGAUAAAACAUAAAAUAAUAAACCAAACAAUAGUGCAACACAUCAAAACGUCUCUCUUUAACCCAUGAAUGUGUAAUGCAUUUAGUAAAUCAUUAGAAUUUCUUGCUGAUCUGUUUUAAAUAAAUAUUUUGUUCCAUCGUUUAACUUUUGUCUGAAACGUGAAAGGUCAAGGUGAGUUUUGCACCGCUCUCCUCCUCAACCAUCACUGUAGUACAAUAAAAUAUUGAAUGUUUUAUUAAGUAGUAAUAGUAGCUAUGCUAACAUUAGCUUGAAAAUCACAUUGUGAAACAUGGGGAGCAGAGAGAGACAGAAAGGAUGAAGUAAACACCCAGAAAAUAAAGUCUUAUUGCAAGUAAUUCAGAACGUUUUUAACGCUGUUCAUUCUUUCUGACUACAAGCAUUGUGUUGUUUGUUGUUGCCCCCUCCCCCAGGUGGCGCCACCGGCAGUAAGAUUCCUAAACUCUGGUAUGAGUUAAGAGGCUCCCGACAUCCAUCCUGCUGGAUUACAUCACCGAAAUGCAGCUCAAACAAGGUUUAUAUGCUGCGUCGACUGUCCUGGAGCCAACUGAAGACGACGUUUUAAUCCACGGAUGGGAGAAGGAAGACUUGGAGUCUAUUAAAGAGAAUGUAAAAAGGGAAUGGCACUAUCUAACCCAGAGGAUGGUAACAUAAAACAGAAGGAGUCUGACGAUGUGGGGCUCAGAGGAAACGUGACGCUCCAGUGGAGGAUACAGGGAAAAGGGUAUAUAAAAAAAAACAAACUUCAAUACACAAAGGGAGUUUUUCUGAAAAAAAAAAAAAAAAAAAAAAGACUGAAAAGUCAUGACAUGAAAAGCAGAAGUCAGACAGGCAUUAAAAACCUUUCACCACUGAAAACAGAGCAAACAGCAGCCUUGCGAAUACAUAUAAAAACACAGAUAGAGAAA
This is a long non-coding RNA of Poecilia latipinna (sailfin molly), 2865 nucleotides long. RefSeq lists it as uncharacterized. The transcript has 2 exons. The record is from RefSeq and is a predicted model, not a curated record. Lineage: Eukaryota; Metazoa; Chordata; Actinopteri; Cyprinodontiformes; Poeciliidae.